RNAcentral lists this unclassified non-coding RNA (387 nucleotides) under soil metagenome. Its description in RNAcentral is "partial contains 5.8S ribosomal RNA, internal transcribed spacer 2, and large subunit ribosomal RNA". The stretch from base 1 to 120 matches the Rfam family "5.8S ribosomal RNA", at positions 35 to 154 of the family's 154-position model. The record is from RNAcentral.
GAUGAAGAACGUAGCGAAAUGCGAUAAGUAAUGUGAAUUGCAGAAUUCAGUGAAUCAUCGAAUCUUUGAACGCACCUUGCACCCUUUGGCAUUCCGAAGGGUAUGCUCGUUUGAGUGUCAUUGUACUCUCACACUCUCCGAUCCUAUGGAUUCGGGGAGCGGUGGACUUGGGUGUUGCUGCCUUUCCUUGUGGCUCACCUCAAAUGUGUCAGUGCACCUCUUGGUUGGACAUAGUACGGCGUGAUAAGUGUCUUCGCCGGCACCUCGCAAGAGGGUGGCCGAUCGGGAGCUCUGUGCUUUCAAACCGUCUUCGGACAAUUUCUGACAACUUGACCUCAAAUCGAGUAGGACUACCCGCUGAACUUAAGCAUAUCAAUAAGCGGAUGA